UACGUAGGUGGCAAGCGUUGUCCGGAUUUAUUGGGUUUAAAGGGUGCGUAGGCGGCUACUUAAGUCAGUGGUGAAAGACGGCAGCUUAACUGUCGAGGUGCCAUUGAUACUGAAUAGCUAGAGUACUGAUGAGGUAGGCGGAAUGGACGGUGUAGCGGUGAAAUGCAUAGAUAUCGUCCAGAACACCGAUAGCGAAGGCAGCUUACUAAGGAGUAACUGACGCUGAGGCACGAAAGUGUGGGGAUCAAACAGG
RNAcentral lists this ribosomal RNA (253 nucleotides) under uncultured bacterium. RNAcentral's name for it is "partial 16S ribosomal RNA". It matches the Rfam family "Bacterial small subunit ribosomal RNA", at positions 524 to 776 of the family's 1533-position model. The record is from RNAcentral.